This 251-nucleotide unclassified non-coding RNA is filed under the name Melitaea cinxia (Glanville fritillary). RNAcentral's name for it is "misc RNA ENSMCXG00005001210.1". The record is from RNAcentral. Lineage: Eukaryota; Metazoa; Arthropoda; Insecta; Lepidoptera; Nymphalidae.
AUUUUGAUAAUUCUUUUUUUAUUGGAAAGAAGAUAUCCUUAGUUUAGUACCAUGAUAAGGAAACCAGGAUCUGAUGAUGGGAUCCCAGAGAAAUCGAGGGAACUUCUUGAAAAUCCGCAAUAACUUUCUACUGGUUGUACCGAUUUUAAUAAUUUUUAAUUUAAUCGAAAGCUGAUGCUUAUCAUGUGAUCACAUAUAAAUUUUAUCGAGAUCUGAUAACUACUUUUUGAGUAAUCUUUGAUAACGCGUAG